UACGUAGGGCGCAAGCGUUGUCCGGAAUUAUUGGGCGUAAAGAGCUCGUAGGCGGCUUGUCACGUCGGAUGUGAAAGCCCGGGGCUUAACCCCGGGUCUGCAUUCGAUACGGGCAGGCUAGAGUGUGGUAGGGGAGAUCGGAAUUCCUGGUGUAGCGGUGAAAUGCGCAGAUAUCAGGAGGAACACCGGUGGCGAAGGCGGUUCUCUGGGCCUUACCUGACACUGAGGAGCGAAAGCGUGGGGAGCGAACAGG
RNAcentral lists this ribosomal RNA (253 nucleotides) under uncultured bacterium. Its description in RNAcentral is "partial 16S ribosomal RNA". It matches the Rfam family "Bacterial small subunit ribosomal RNA", at positions 524 to 776 of the family's 1533-position model. The record is from RNAcentral.